Long non-coding RNA from Oncorhynchus tshawytscha (Chinook salmon), 341 nucleotides. The record is from Ensembl. Lineage: Eukaryota; Metazoa; Chordata; Actinopteri; Salmoniformes; Salmonidae.
GGCGAGGUGGGAGUAGGGGGUAGUGGUAGGGUGUAGUCAGGGGCUAGGUGAGGGUAGGGGGUAGCGGUAGGGUGUAGUCAGGGGCUAGGUGAGGUAGGGGGUAGCGGUAGGGUGUUGUCAGGGGCUAGGUGAGAGUAGGGGGUAGCGGUAGGGUGUUGUCAGGGGCUAGGUGAGAGUAGGGAGUAGGGGGUAGUGGUAGGGUGUUGUCAGGGGCUAGGCGAGAAGUAGGGGUAGUGGUUGGAUAUAGUCAGGGGCUAGGUGAGAGUAGGGCGUAACGGUAGGGUGUAGUCAGGGGCUAGGUAAUAGCAGGGGUAGCGGUAGGGUGUAGUCAUGGGCUAGGU